This 8691-nucleotide long non-coding RNA is filed under the name Octopus vulgaris (common octopus). The record is from RNAcentral. Lineage: Eukaryota; Metazoa; Mollusca; Cephalopoda; Octopoda; Octopodidae.
AUUUUUUCCUGAAACAUUUGGAUUUUGAGAUGGUGUAAAAAGUUCACAGAGAUACUAGUGAAGAUGCAGUUUUAGGAAGCAAUACCUUUGAAAGCAAUAUAUAUAUUUAUAUACUAUGUUUCUAAAAAGGUAGACAUAAUUGCUUGAUAUUCUAACCAGUUACAAUUUAAUGUGUAUAAGGCUGAUUUCAACUGCCAAUGGAUUACUUCAAGAAUGUCAUUGGUUGCAGAAUUGUAAGAAGUUGUGUGUGCUUGUUUAGAAACUUUAAACUGAUGUCCUCUGUAUGCUCUAAUUGUAGGUAUGCAAUCCAGUGUUGAAUUUUAACAAUCAUUUAACAUUUCAAUCGAAGGAGAGGGGCUUUCUCCGUCCGGGUUGCGGAUCCGUGGAAUAAGCUGCCGGACGAAAUAGUGAAGAUACCGACGACCGCUUGGUUCAAAGUCUCCCUUGACCACAAAUGGCCUGAACUCUUUGUAUGAACACCACCCUGUACAUAACUCCAUGUGCCUCUACAUGGCCUUGCUUUUUGCUUUUGAGCCAAAAAAUUAACUUAACUUAUUUCUUUUCUAGUAUCAGCAGAAUGAUUUUAGGCCAUCUGAACGAAUCAGCGAUGGCAAGUUAGUGUGUACAAUUGUGUUAAGGAGGUGUGGUUCAAUAAUGUUAGAGUGGAUGAACUAAAACCCUGAAUCGGGUGUCAUGAAGGCACCAAUGGUGAUUUAAUGUGGUGAUGUAAUCUAGAUUUAUGACGCCUCUGAUUAACCCUUUAGUAUUCCCAUUAUUCUACCAAAUGCGAUGCUUGUUUAUUCACAUUGCAUUGAAUUAAUCCUGCAUUCUCUCAUAGCUGUGAGAUUUCUGCAAUGUGACUCUUUGCUUUGGGAAUAAUAUUGUAGGAUAGGGUAAGAGGCUGGAUCUGAAUGGUCUUGAACAAAAAGGAGGUAAAAUAUUUAGGCCGGAUAUGGCCGGUUUGAAUGCUAAAGGGUUAAGGCAUGUGUAUAUGUAUUCUACAAGGUAACAUUUUGAAAAAAAAACAAACGGAGUAGAAGAGAAAGUGAUGUCAGAAGAAUCGAAAAUAGUGGGUAAAGGUUGUGACUGUAUGUGUGGGUGGGUGGGGGGGAAAUGAGUGAUAGGUAGUGGUACAGGUGGGUACCAGUAGAAAGUGACUCAGAGAAGAAGGGAGUGAUGAGUACAGAAAGUAAUGGCAUGAAUAAUAGGGCGCCACUUACUAGCAGAACUAGAAGAGAGGGUGAGUGGAAGAAAGUGAAUGAUUUGAAAGAGAGUUGAUGAGUGAAGAAAGAGAGAUGAAUGGAUGGAAAGAUAGGCAACAGAAAGAGUGAUGGGGAGAUGAGAUAGUCAAUAAUGACAUGAAGUGGGAGAUGUAGACUUGAUAAGAACAAAUUAGUAGAGAGGCCAAAAUAUGUGCACAAACAUACAUAUAUAAAUCCUUAAAAAAAUGUUUUAGCCCGAAGGCUGCGGCCAUGCUGGGGCACCACUGCUGGUAUGCAUACAUAAAUGAUAAUGAUGAUCAUCAGGUAAUGUCUGUUUUCCGUGCUGGCAUGGGUUGAACAGUUUGACAGGAAUUGGUAAGCUAGAAAGCUGUACCAGAUUCCAAUUGUCUGUUUUCACGUGGUUUCUAUGGCUAGGAGCCCCUCCCUAAUGCCAACCACUUCACAGGGUAUACUGAGUGCUUUUUACGUAGCACCGGCACCAGUGCUUUAUGGGUGGCAUCAGACAGGUAUUUUCUACUUGGCACCAGCAUCGGGUGCUUUUAGGUGCUUUUAUGUGACUCCCAACCAUUCAGAUGAAAAAGGGUGUAGAACCAAGAGAUUAGAGUAUGAUAAAGGGACAGAAGUAGCCUUCUUACUAUGGAGGAAAUACUUGGCUACCACAGAGGGACAAAGAAGGAUAGGAAGGUGGGAGAAAGUUAGUGAGAAAGAGAGAGAGAGAGACACACACAUACAGACAGAGUGAGAAUGAGUGGGUCUGCCCAUAGGGAGGAGCUGGGGCUGGUCUGGCAGGAACGUUAGCACGCCGGGCAAAACGCCUAGCGGUAUUUCGUCUGCCGAGGUCGACUUUACCUUUCAUCCUUUCGGGGUCAAUAAAUCAGUACCAGUUACGCACUGGGGUCGAUGUAAUCGACUUAAUCCGUUUGUCUGUCCUUGUUUGUUCCCUCUGUGUUUAGCCCCUUGUGGGUAGUAAUGAAAUAGGUAUAAGUAAUAUAGAGGGGACUGUUCCUUAAGAAUGUGAGGGCAGAUGUUUAGACAUGGCAGAGAUAGCAAGUGAUGUUGUGAGAGAUUAGAGUGGCUUGGAGGUGGGUAUGGUAUGUGAGAGUGUGUGGAUAGGAAUGAGAGGGAGAGUGGAGGGGGGGCCUGCAAUGGGUGCUGAGACUGUAGGGAAGAUGGGUUGAUAGAAGACAGAAUUAAUUGUGUUUGGGAGUAUGGCCAUAAAGGACAAGCUUGUAUGUAUGGAUGGCCAUGAUUUUACUUAGCCAGGCAUACCAUUUUAAGCACAGCAAAUCGCCAGAAGUCUCAGUCUUUUGUCAUCCUCUCAGUGAGACUCAACAUCUGGAGAUACUUUCUCACUACUUCAUCUCUUGACUUCUUGACUUCACCUCUUUUACAGGUUCCUUCCACAAUUAGAGAUUGGCACUUCUUUAUGCAACUGUCGUCAUCCAUACACAUCACAUGACCAUACCAGCGCAGUCUCUUGCACACUACAUCUGAUGCUUCUUGUACCCAAUUUUUUCUCUUAACCCUUUAGCAUUCAGAUUACUCUGUGAAAUGUGAUGCUUAUAUACUCACACUGUUUUGAAAUUGUCAUGCAUUAUCUUGUAGUUUGAGGUUUUAAUGAUAUCAUCAUUACCAUUUAGUGUUUGUUUUUUAUGCUGGCAUGGGUUAGAUGGUUUAACUGGAACUGGUAAGUGGGAGAGUUACACCAGGCUUCAGUCUAUUUUGGCUUGGUUUCUAUGGCUGGAUGCCCUUCCUAAUGCCAACCACUCCAAACUGCAUCUUGUCCAGGCUAACUCUAUUUCUAAUUACAACCCUUUCUAUAACAUUCAUUACCUGGUUCAGUAAUUUGAUGACAUUGUAAUCGUUUCUGUCUAAGGCAUCACCUUUACCUUUGUAGCAGUUGACUAUAAUGCUGAUACACCACCAGUUUUUGAGUAUUACUCCCUUGAGGACAACCUGAUUAACUAUAUGGGAGACUAGGUCAUAUCCCACUCUAACUGAUAUUUUAAACAUCUCAGUGGUGAUUCCUGAUGGGCCUGGGGCUUGCCUUGUUUUCAUAUCCUUAAUUGCUUUAUCUACUGAACUACUGUCAAUUCAGAUGGCUGGUCCUUUUGUUGGGUCCACAUUAGACAGACUCUUCUUCACCUAUGCAUUUAGCAGCCUUUCAUAGUGAGCCAUCUUCCAUGCAAUGCAGUCUACAUGUCGUCUCUUCCUCAUGCUUAUCUCUUGCUCCCUAAUCCUGUCCUUACUGGCCUGCUCACUGUAUCAUUACUGUCCUGUUGUCCCCACCCCCACUAUAUACCCAGGUUUCAACAGGCACUGCAUUCCUUGUCCCCACACUCUUUGCAUUCAUGUGAAGUCUCUACUCCCUACUCAUGCACCUUUGACAAUACCCUACUAUUUAUAUUCCCUGUAAAUUUGAGGGUUUGCCCUGGCACUUUGCCACCAUCUAUCUCUUACUUGUUCUACUCUACCAUUCCUUUUAUAUUCUGAUCUCCUGUUCCUUGUGUGUAUGCCCUGGCACUUCACAACCAUCUCUUUCCUGCUCCCUCUUGCACUCUCACUACCUCUCUCUGAUCAGGUAACCAUGUAUCUCCUCUACAGCAAGACACCUGUUUCUGUCUCUGUUACACUCUAACUUUCCAUCAUCUGACACAAGAUCGCCUCCUCCAAUUCCUCCUCCCCUCUCAAAGGAUCUUUAUCUUGCAAGUUACUUGGUGACAUUGCCAGUGCUGGUGCCAUGUGAAAAGCAUCUAGUCCUCAUUGUAAAGUGGUUGGUGUUUGGAAGGGCAUCCAGCUGUAAAAACCAUGCCAAAACUAACCUCACCUGUGCUGGUGCCACAUAAAAAGCACUCAGUCCACUCUGUGGUGUGGUUGGUGCUAGGAAGGGCAUCCAGCCAUAAAAACCAUGCAGAAACAGACACUGAAGCCUGGUGCAGCCUUCUGCCUCGCCAGCUCCUGUCAAACCAUCCAGCACAUGCCAAUAUGGAAAGUGGAUGUUAAAAAUGAUGAUGAUAUAAACGUGUUUUCAUAUACACACAUUUGUUUUCUCUACCAUUAGAUAACUCUUCACCAUUCACCCUGUCUUGAGUUCCUAUUGCAAAGUUCUAUUCACUUUGAGUAUUUCUCUAUAAAAUUGUCUUCAUAUGCCCAUAUCAGUGUACAUUACAUUUACGAAGUGAUACCCAAAAGAAACCUGAAUUUUGCAAUAUUAUUUUAUUCACUUAGCUUUACAUGUUUACACUUUUAUUGCCUUCAAAAUAUUCUCCAUUUGAAGCAAUGCAUUGGUCCAGGUGUGUUUUCCUCUAUUUGAAGCAGUCCUGGAACUCUUGCUUUUUAACACCUCUGUCAUUUUUUUUUCUUCACCUUUUCCACUUUUGCAAAUUCCAUAGAACUAGUGGUGACCUUUGAAAAAAGGUCUGGAUCAACUUUCAGCUGUUUUUUCACUUCACAACAUGUAUUCAUGGCACGCAUUUCAUCUUCUGUACACAGGUAGGGACAAAAAUUUUGUUACAACUCUUUUCAUUUCGCAAUUUUUCACUCACAAUUCGUUGGCAGGAGCUCCAGGAUAUACCAGUCGUAUCAACAAGUCCGUCAAUUUUUCAGUGAUGGUCCUCCAAGACCAGUUCAUGAAUUUUCAUGAUGUUUUCAUUUGUUCAGGAGGUUCAUAAUUGUCCUGAACAAGAUUAGUCUUCAAGCAACAAAUGACCAUUCCUAAAGUGUGGAAACUACUCAUAAACCUGUGUUUCGCCCAUGGCAGCAUCCUUGUAAGUUGUUUGAAGCAUUGCAACUGUUUCAGCUGCUGUUUCCCUCAGCAGAAAAUAGAAUUUCACAGAAGCACACUGUUCCUUCAUUUCAGCCUUUUCAAAAAUGAAUGAACAGGGGAAAAGCCCUGUGAAACAAAGAUGCACCACGUGGCAGUGCAACACCACUUGAAAGUGUCGGUUAGCAUACUGAUGCCUACGGGUCACAUCAAGUGGCUGCUAGCGGAGGAAACCUGAACUACAACAAGCUUGCUCCUCAGAGAAUGUUUCCAGUUACUUUUGGGUACCUCUUCAUAAUUGCCCUUGUACCCAGUUUUUAGUCAGUUGUUCAUAUCUUUUGACAUUAUUCAUUCUGUGUAGCAUUCUUCAUUUCUACUCUAUAUUUUUGAAAGUCUGUUUCCGUUGCUGAUCAAAUAUCAUAAUCUAUCAAAAUUUCUUUCCUUUGUUUUUUUGUGUGUUUAUUGCCCUUUUGCAUUUGCCAAUUAGAAAGUUUGCUUCUUUGAUUAAAUUGUCUAUGAUUCCACUGCUACUCUUUUACAAUUAGUACACUAUGGAAUUCCUAACAACCUCUUUUUCUCGAUGUUGUGCAGGACUGCUUCCCUGACAUUAGAGUUCUAUCUUCUUUCCUAUUUAUUGAUAUCUUAGAAUUUGCUAAGUUUACUUUGGGUCCUCUUGAUUUCAGAUUUUGCUUCAAAGUUUGGGAUUUCUUCUUAGGUAUUGUAGUAAUAGUGAGAAACACUUCAUUUAUGAGAGUUAGGUCAUAUGCACACAAGAAUUCACAUGAAAAACUAGUCUUAAACUCCUCUGUUAUGGUUGGAAGGAUUACGACAAAUAGAAGGGGAUUGAGAAUUGCAUAUAAAUAGGGUGCAUACAAGUUGGGUCCCUGGUUGACCCUAUUUGUAUACUAAGUUCAUCACUGUUAUUGCUAACUCUUAUCUUACUGACAGCCUCUUUGUACAUGGUUUGUACUGCCCUCAUAAACUCAAUGAAGGACCUAAAUUUUUGGGGUCCUCAAACUUGAACUGUUAGGGGCCUCUUUACAACCAACAACAAUAGGUAAACAUUAUUCAAUAAAAUCUGAAAGGCCUUGCUUUAUGUACAAGGAUGAUGAAGUCCAAUGGGCAGAGAACUGAGUGACCAGAUGAAGUAUUUUAAAUGGGGUCAUGCAGUGAGCCCUUUCUUACAUGCAACAAGCUCUGGGUAACUGUUGUUAUCCUUUUCAGUGUGUUUGUUCCAUGACAGAUCACUUCAAAUUUUAAAAUAAAUUUUUACUACAUCUCUGAAUGCUAUACUAGAUUAUCUCACACAUUAAAGUAACUGGUAUGAAUAAAAAUUUCCAUUAUCUUAUAGUUUUUUUUAGUUAUAAGUAAUGAAAUUUAGGGAUUAUUUAUGUAGAAGCUUCAUGUGCUGCAGGCUGAUGAAAUGAAACAUAGCAAAGGUCAGAGUUAAUAUAAUCUUUCACUUAAAAACUUACAGGAAUACAUACUAUGUGAAGCACAUAGAAAAUACUUUUUUCUGUUUGCACAAAAUUUUACGAUAUGAGAGCUUCUUGCUUUAUAAUUUUCUGGAGACAAUAUGAAUGAUGGAUUUAAGUGCUUGUAACGAGAGGCAAAUCAAAGAGUUAGGUUUAACACUUUAGGAAUUCAGCAACGUUUUGUUGUUUGGACGAACAAUUGGUGCGUUUACAUCUCGAGGUCUUCUUGGGAACUGGUUUUUGCCUUUCAAAACAUGCACUUCACCGCUGGGUCACAUGUAUCCAGCAGUGAUGAGAUGUUUUGGAUGUAGGCAUAGCACGACUGUGUUAUGCUACCACAAAAUAGUGCAAACAUGUCUUGCUUCAGAUACCCUCCUGCAGUCUGAAAGUCAUUGCAAAAUAAAUGUAAACCCAAAUAUAAUUCUCAGGGCCAACAAAAUAAAGACGACGUACAAAAUUGUGAAAAGUGUGUGUUUGAACAUGGAAGAAUUUUUACAAAUAAUAUACAGUGUUCACAAAAAAUAUAUACAUAGAUAACAGGUAACAUGUCAAAAUUACAUGAAUGCAAAGGCAAGGUAAACAUGCUCUUACUCUACUCUUUUACUUGUUUCAGUGAUUUGACUGCGGCCUUGCUGGAGCACCGCCUUUAGUCGAGCAAAUCGACCCCGGUACUUAUUCUUUGUAAGCCUAGUACUUAUUCUAUUGGUCUCUUUUGCCGAACCACUAAGUGAUGGGGACGUAAACACACCAGCAUCGGUUGUCAAGCAAUGCUAGGGGGACAAACACAGACACACAAACAUAUACACACUCAUACAUAUAUAUAUAUAUAUAUAUACAUAUAUAUGACAGGCUUCUUUCAGUUUCCGUCUACCAAAUCCACUCACAAGGCAUUGGUCGGCCCGGGGCUAUAGCAGAAGACACUUGCCCAAGAUGCCACACAGCAGUGGGACUGAACCUGGAACUAUGUGGUUGGUAAGCAAGCUACUUACCACACAGCCACUCCUACGUAUACACAAAAAGUAAAACAGCAUAAAUGCAUUAAGUAGGAAAAAUUACAAUAUGAUAGGUUCAUAUAAAAACAGUUUUACAUAGUUUCUUAGGCCAAGGGACACGACGACCACUGCAGGUUGUUGUGAUGUAUGUUGGUGGGGGUGAGGAAGGUGCGUGUAACUGAGUUUGUGGUGAGUAGAAUGGUACAGUAUUUGUUUCCUGUUGUACAGUGUAUGAGAGGUGAGUAUGAGGCUCUAGUGUGAGAGCAUCUGUGUACGCCCAUUUAAGUCUAUCGACUGAGACUGUUUCUCAGGAACCAUUCAGGUCUAUGGUGAAAUGUUUAUCAUGGUAUGGCAACAAAUGAUAACGUCCUGAGUAAGGUGGGUGGGGAGAGGACUUCUCACUGCGUCCCUGAAGUUGAGUCGGUGUCCUGUUACCCAAAUAUUCAUCGUGUACCAAUGUGUGAAAAUGCUUGCCUGCAGAGAGAGGUGUCCUGCAAAUAAUCUCAGUCUUGAUGGUUAAAUAAGUGGCAUCUUUUGGGGUGUUAGUGAUGAGAUCCUUGAGAUGAUUUACCAGGGAAGGAGGGACGGAGGUCAAGAGAAUAUGCAGCUGUCACAGCUUGGACAUAAUGUCAUUCGCCAUGGCAUACAAGUCCACCUGGGCACAUCAAGUCAAACAUCCCCACUAAACGCUGGUAACGGUGAGUGACUCAUGGCUGAGAAUUAAAGUCUGUAUGGUAAAAACAGGUGAGCAAAGUCUUCCAAGAAAAUCUUCAGUGACUUGUAUUUUCCAUCCAUCUUUGUAUAAAACAAAUCUAUAAUGAAACAGAAUCAAGAAAUAUUUUUAAUUUUUAUUUUUAGCAAUGGCAGCGAGCAGGCAAAAUCCAGGCGAAAAUGAGGCAAGCCAUAUACAUGUGGCACCAGUGUACAUGCGUGAAGCACCACAUGGUCAUGCUUUGGAGAAGAAGGUCAGCUGCCAUGUUGAAAAUGAAAGAAAAUUCACACAUGUGGUUGCCUAAAAGAAAGAGCAAGUGCUUCAAAGCCUGUUUUUCUUUUCUUUGGGUUUGUUGUUUUUCUUGUUACUUAUUUUUUUCAGGGAAUAAUAUCAGGUCACCAAUAUAACAAGAGGAAAAUCAAAUAGUUAGGCUUACCACUUUAGGAAGUAUAUUUAGAUGUGUGCAUAUAAGAAGGUUUGAAAUGUAUAAAUGUAUGUUUUACGUGAAGGUAACAAUAAAUAUCAG